RNAcentral lists this transfer RNA (75 nucleotides) under Oryza sativa Indica Group (long-grained rice). It matches the Rfam family "tRNA". Rfam says of the family: Transfer RNA (tRNA) molecules are approximately 80 nucleotides in length. Their secondary structure includes four short double-helical elements and three loops (D, anti-codon, and T loops). Further hydrogen bonds mediate the characteristic L-shaped molecular structure. tRNAs have two regions of fundamental functional importance: the anti-codon, which is responsible for specific mRNA codon recognition, and the 3' end, to which the tRNAs corresponding amino acid is attached (by aminoacyl-tRNA synthetases). tRNAs cope with the degeneracy of the genetic code in two manners: having more than one tRNA (with a specific anti-codon) for a particular amino acid; and 'wobble' base-pairing, i.e. permitting non-standard base-pairing at the 3rd anti-codon position. The record is from Rfam by way of RNAcentral. Lineage: Eukaryota; Viridiplantae; Streptophyta; Magnoliopsida; Poales; Poaceae.
AGGCUUGUAGCUCAGGUGGUUAGAGCUGCACCCCUGAUAAGGGUGAGGUCGGUGGUUCAAGUCCACUCAGGCCUA